Molecule: long non-coding RNA, 1553 nt
Filed under: Eutrema salsugineum
Lineage: Eukaryota; Viridiplantae; Streptophyta; Magnoliopsida; Brassicales; Brassicaceae
Description: long non-coding RNA (ESAL_LNC000377)
Source: RNAcentral
UAUGAUUUGGUCCUUGAAAUUCAUUUUGAAUUUCAAAAUACAUCUGCACCAUCAAUAUUGUUCUCAUCUCUGAUUUCCGACGACUUCUAACCUUGGUGUACGGCGAGUUAUUGUCCGGUUACAUCUUUGCUUCAACUCAAUCUGCGAGCCUCUUCAGCUUUAUCGGCGAGCGUCUUCAGUUUUAUUGUCGAGCCUCUUCAGUUUUAUCGGCGAGCCUCGAUAUCCGAAAAUGGUCGACAAGUCUUUCACACGCACGGAGCCUGCUUCCGCGACCAAGACCGAAAGGUACGUCUACUACUUUUUCUGGGUUUCUCCGUUUGUUGAUGGGCAAAAAUGGUCGUAAAUGGUGUUGUGGUUGUACUGAACUCUGAUUUUACUCCCAACACGCGCGUACUGUCUCUUUAAUUUUGCAGAUCUAGAUAUAAUAUGUUCGCCAAUAAAUUACCUCUAGUUAGUCCGUAGAAAUCGUUUCUGCUCAUUAUGAAAUGGAUGAAAUUACAUUCCACCUCCUUUAUCUUCUUUAUCCGCAAACCGGUUUGGAUAUACGUUUCGUAGAUCUCGCCUACCGAGACUGUCUAUCAACGAUCUAUGUAUCACAAGUAGUCCACUUUAUAAUAGUUAACUACUUGAAAUACAUAGUCUCCUAUUACUUUUCACCUGAGUAGUUAUUUACGAGAACAAUAGAGUUUUCUUUAUCGGUAGUUAACUAAGUGUCUGCUAUGUUUUGAAGAGAUUUGUUAUUAUCGAUAUUUGGGUUUCUUGAUUUUGUAGAUCUAAGUAGCUAACUAUUUUUUUAUACAAGUAUAUAGUAAUUACAUUGAGUAUCAUUGUUAGUAAUUGUCUACUCUUAACAAUGACAACCGAUACAAUAAAUAACUACAACAUUUUCAGUUAGUCUACUUAAUUACUAUGUUCAUGUAACCAAUAAAUAGCUAGGACACACUCAUAAACAAAUGGCAUUUUGUUAUAAAGUAGUUGUCUACUUAUUAGAGUAGGUACCUAUUAAUAUAGUCAACUAUCUUAUUUGGUUAUACCUGAAACCAACCAUGUAGUAGACGUCUAUAUUUGGUUUAAUAUGUAUUCAAUUAUUUUUCCUUUUUAUUUGAUAAUUAACUACUGCGUAAUACUAGACAAUAAAUUGUUUAACAUGUAGUAGUCUACUAGUGGUAGUAGAUUGUUAUUGCAAUAGUAGACUAGAAAGAUUUAGUUGUCUAUUUUUUGAAAUAAUAUUUAUUUCUCUGAUUUACAUGACCGUGUGGUAAAGAUGGAUGUGAGAAGCUGGAUAAGUUGGAUGUAAUCUGUCUGGCUGGUGAAGAGAUGAACUUUGACAAAGGUGAUGAUGAAUCUGAGGGGAACAAUGGAGUCUUGCAUGAUUUUGCAGUGGGGAGAAAGUCAACAUUUUUCUUAGUUAAUAGUCGACUAUUAAUGUCUAUGAUUAAUUUAUCAGAAUAUGCGGUUAUGUAAUAGAUGAUUAUGUUUGGUUUAAUAUGCAUUUAUAGAAAAUAUCUUCCAUAACAUCUUACACUUUUAGAGUGAGAGGAUGUUCGUUUGAG